GACAGAGGUCCCAAGCGUUAGGCGGAAUCACUGGGCUUAAAGCGUGUGUAGGCGGACUUCUAAGUACCUUGUGAAAUCCCACGGCUCAACCGUGGAACUGCUUGGUAUACUGGUUGUCUUGGGCCAUCUAGGGGCUAGCGGAACAAACGGUGGAGCGGUGAAAUGCGUAGAUAUCAGGAGGAACACCUAUUGCGAAGGCAGCUCGCUGGGACGUUACUGACGCUGAGACGCGAAAGCGUGGGGAGCAAACAGG
This 253-nucleotide ribosomal RNA is filed under the name uncultured bacterium. RNAcentral's name for it is "partial 16S ribosomal RNA". It matches the Rfam family "Bacterial small subunit ribosomal RNA", at positions 524 to 776 of the family's 1533-position model. The record is from RNAcentral.